GAGGAUAAUCCUCAUCUCUGGUUUACAAGACCAGGGCUUUGGUUUUUAAGCUACCAGAAC
RNAcentral lists this transfer RNA (60 nucleotides) under Eremias vermiculata. Its description in RNAcentral is "tRNA-Thr". Lineage: Eukaryota; Metazoa; Chordata; Lepidosauria; Squamata; Lacertidae. The record is from RNAcentral.